This 12156-nucleotide long non-coding RNA is filed under the name Homo sapiens (human). RNAcentral describes it as "HSALNT0101960". The record is from RNAcentral. Lineage: Eukaryota; Metazoa; Chordata; Mammalia; Primates; Hominidae.
CUCUGGGGAACACAAGAGGUGGCCUGCCAAGAGGGCCUCCUUGAUGUGCAAGAAAAAGAUAUGCCUGCAAAGCAAGGUGAGAGUGAGGUUAUGCUUGGGGAUAACCUGACAUCAAUCUCAGCCUACUUAGCAAUUUCACAGUCACUUUUAAGGAAAGCAAUUUUAAAAGUCACACUGAAAAUGCUUAACAUUAAAGAACUUCAAAAAAAAAUCAUCAGUAUUAAGGCAAAAUCAAAAUAAGAACUGCGUUUCUCUGGAAUAAAAGUUGUGACCCAAACAAGAUAAACUUAUUUAACACAAGUUCGGUAACAUUAAGGUUACAAAACAUAAAAUAAUUACACAUAAGUUUCUGCAUUAUAGUGUUUUAAAAGAAAUUAUUUUAAUCAGAAAAAUUGUAUCUUGACAUGGAUUCUGAUAGAAUCUUAAGGAACUCUAUACAUAAAGACAAAAUUCUCACCUUUAUUCAAAUGAUACCCCAAUCUCUAGUCUCAGUGCCAGCUUCUGUCCUAAGAAUCACAUGAAAAAUGUCCAAUCUCCUAUAGGCUUCACCACCUGGAUGUUCUUCGGUACCUCAAUUUUGGCUCAUUCAAAACCAAACUCCAUAUAUUCUUUCCCAAGCCCUUUUUCUCCGAAUGGAGACCACGGACUGACUUUGGACUCUUUGUCCUAUUUCACUUGACUUUCUUCUCUCUGAAAACUAUUUAAAUCCAGUUCUAUCCUCCCAUUUGUACCUCCUCAAUACUACUUGCAGGAAGAAUUUACACUAUUCUCUGCGCUGCUCUCCUCCUCCAGACUCCAUGCAGGCAGCCUACCUUCCAUGCUGCUUGUUUCUAGUAUAAACUUGUCAUUUCUCUGCUCAAAAUCCUUCAAAGGAUCUGUACGGCUUGCCAAGGGAGCACGUUGUUAACGUGGAGCUGAGGAGUCUCCGCCAUCUGGCCCCAGCUUUCCAGCCACGUCUCCUGUCAUUCCCUGCAGCUGCUAUGCCCCAGGAUAGGGAACGAUUCCUCUCCCUGGGAAAUCUAGGAAGCAUGUUCAUGCUCUGGUGUCUCUGGUCUUGCUGCUCCCUCUGUCCUGAGGGCCAUUCUUUCUGUCGCCUUGCUUGGAUACCCUUUGGUCUGUAUCACAUGCAAAUCCUCUAUUCCUCUGGUACAGUAUUUGACAUAACAUGUAUAUUAUGUAUGACUUCUUAAGUGCCUCGAACAUCAGAGAGCUCCAAAAAUGUACAUAAAACUGCAUAUUAUGUGUGAUUAGUUUACCUUCCAACCUUAGUUUCAUCCUGUUUAAGCCCAUCCUAGUUGUAUACAAUACUAUAUUCUACAUUUACUAAAAGGUUAUGUCACACUUAAAAACUCCUGUAAAAUUCAGAUACUGGUCACACUGCCCAAAACUCUGAAGAGCACCUAAACUGCUGUAGACAGAUUGGCCUCAGUUAUAACAAGUGUCCCUGGCAAAUGUGAAGUUUUAACCUUCCUUCGAUGACUUGUCAUAACCUCUCAAACAAGGCUAAUUGCCACAUUAUUCGUCCCAUUAACAAAUGAAUUGUAACUUUGGCCAGGUGCGAUGUCCUCAGCACUGUUUCUGUUUAAUAAUAUAUCUGUGUCUGACAUUCCAGGUAGAGGAACAUGAGCAAGGUAAGAAUCGACUAAGGAGGAGGCAGUGAGGCUACAAAUCUAAGGAGGUGCUAUACUGAGAGUCUACAAUGUCUGGCUGACAAGAGCCAUUAAUCUUAUUUUCACUAAGAAGUAUUUAAAUUCAAUGUUUUGUGCAUUCUAUAAUGAUAAAGAAAUAUUUAAAAUGAUGAAACUCUGCCAAAUACUGCAGUUUUUUCUUUUUUUCAAAGCCCGUGUAAAGAAAUCAUAGUAAGAAUGUGUAAUAGCCUCAAAGAAGAUAAAGAUGGUUUUUAUUAACCCAAACAUCUGCUAAUCUUUAAAGUAUUUCUGACAUACUGCUAAACUGAGAAAGGAGCCCCCACUGGGGCAAAGGAAUCACCAUGAAAAUAAUUUGCUGUAAAAUAGCUAUCUGAGGACUGAGAUCCAGCAUUCUCAGCAAGCCGUGGUUUACUACACUGUUGCAGGCCUCAAAAGGCUUCUUAGAUGACCAUUUGAUAAACUUCAUCUUGGUGAAUGUACCCAUCUCUGUAUUCGACUGGGGUGGAGGUGUGCUGUUAGGAAACUAAAAUCUGCAUCUAUGCUUUCGUUAAAGAAGAAAUUACGCUCUGAAAGACUUGAAGAAUAUUGCCACAAACGAAGUCUUCUUAGUUUAAUUACUGCUUAUGUAAAAGUGGCCUUUUUUUUUUUUUUUGAGAUGGAGUCUUGCUCUGUCGCCCAGGCUGGAGUGCUAUGGCACGAUCUGGGCUCACUGCAAGCUCCGCCUCCUGGGUUCAAGCGAUUCUCCUGCCUCGGCCUCCCGAUAGCUACAUUAGACCAUGCCUGUCUAAUUUUUGUAUUUUUAUUAGAGACGGGGUUUCACCGUGUUAGCCAGGAUGGUCUCAAUCUCCUGACCUCAUGAUCUGCCUGCCUCGGCCUCCCAAAGUGCUGGGAUUACAGGCAAAAGUGGCUUUUAACUUAUUUUUCAGGUGUAAAGUUAGAGACUAGUUCCUGCUUUAUUAGAUAGUAAGAAGAGUUUUGAAUCAAUUCCGUGUCUUUUUGCAACCUAUCCAUGCCUACACUUCCGGAGAGACAGUGGCCAAAAUCAAAGGCAAAGAAGCAGUAACAGAAUGUAAACAGGUGGCAGGCAGCCUGAGAGCACCACUGAUCCUUCUCAGCAUAUGGGCCAGAAUUUAAGAAAAGAUCUAGCAAGGGCGAUGAUUGACCUUUUCGACAUACUCCACAUUCUAGCCUGGAGUGCAGAGGAUGCCUGGUAAGCAUGAAAAAUCCUUCUCCUUACUGUCAACAUCAGCUUUCUGAUAGUCCCUUCCUGCAUUUUGCAGUUUCAUGGCUAUAAAGCAACCUUUUCAUUUCAAGCCAAUAAAUAUUUGUCUUGCACCGCCUCUGUGCCCAGCCCUAAGCUGGGGUUUUAGGGUAAACAUGUCUGAGAGUUCCUUUUUAGAUGGACUUACAGCCUUUUACAAUAAAGGGACAUAUCCCAUCAAAAUAACUCCAGCCACAAUCUAGCUUUUGGGUGACAAGUUUAUGCUCUCCAGGAGAACAGUACAACAGAGUACUAGUAGCAAAGAUCAGCACUCUAAUAGGCUCUUUCCAAGACAGAGGAUAGCAGAGCUCAGAGACAUGUUUCCAACAAGAACUUCAGUGAUGGCUCAAUAUUUAUGGGUGGUUUUGAAUCAAGUAUUUUCUCUUAGUAUUUUCCCCUCAAACCAUCUGGAUUGUAACUAUCUGGCUCCUGGGUUUUGCCCCCUCCUUUUUUUUUUUGUAAAGUAGGCAAAAUGUUACCAAUAAUAUCAAAACAAGCAGAUGUGGUCAAAUAAGUUAUGCCUGCAGUGAAUGCUUUUGCACUAAAGAUCAAAAGUAGAUGACAUAUUCAAUUCAAUAGAGGCUACAUCCUAGAAUCACAAACAGAAAGAAAGCCUUUGGAAAAAAACUGUUUUCUCUGUCUUAAGGAAAUGUCCAUGAAUACAUCCUAUGAGCAUAAAUAAGCUCAAACUGCACCUUUUAAACAUUCUUCGGGUUAUACCUUCUAAUUCAUGACUCUUCUUUAAGUUUUACCCAGUUACUAAGAAAACUGAUAUUUUCAAUAUAUGGAUCACAUUUUGGGGCCCAAGGCGUAACAUUCUGGCUAAACUCAUGUCCUGGCAUCGUGGGCACAGAUGAAUUAACAUUUACUGAGCAUUAUAGAUUUUUUUUUUAAUGGAGUGAAUAUAAGGAUAUGCCAAAUUUUAAUUUUAAAAAUGAAUCACAUAUUCUUACUAUAUUUUUCUUUCAAAGUACUUCAAAUUUUCUCUCUUUUAAAAAUUAAUUCCUUCUUACAAUGUUAAGGAAUGAAGUUAGAUCAUUUAUCUUUUAAGAGUUGUAAUCAGAGAACUUUCCUCUAAACACAGGCUUGUCUCAUAAAGCAAUUAUCUAGGAAUCAAAGCAGAACUUCCUGCAAACCAAUUGGAAGUUGUUCAUCUGCUCAUCAUAGAGGGUUCCUCUCAGUUACUGCCCUCCAGUUACCUCACCAGUUACACCAUUUUUAAGAGCUUUUAAUGACAAAUGUAAAAUAACUAUAUCCAGAUUCAUUAUUGAACUCAAAAUUUAAGAACUAACCUACAUCUUUAAAACAGCUAAGCAGCUAUUUUUUUCAAAUUCUCAAUUACCAAUAAUUGAAUUGUAUUUCUCCUGGAGAGCCAUGACUGACUCUAGCCAUAGUGAGUAAUGGCUGGUUCUGCUCUCACCUUGUCAGAACCCACGGUGAUCAUCAGCCAGCCUGCCUCAGUCCAAUGAGUCACUUAACCACAGUUUAUUUUAAAACAAACUUUGACUGCCAAGUUAUAUUUAAAAGCUAUCAAAUCACAACAGAAUUGCUAUGAGAGUUUUCUGUUUUGUAUCUUUAAUUUCAGUAAAACACAAAUCAGUUCAAGAUGGAUCACGGGUCUAAAUGUAAAAGCUAAAACCGUAACGCUUUAGAAACAAAACUUAAGAGUAUCUUCAUGACUUCCAGGUAGCAAAGGUUUCUCAGGACAUAGCAAAAACCACAAAAGAAGAAAGUGGAUAAAUUAGGCUUCACCAAAAUUAAAAACUUCUACUCAUAAAAGGCAUCAGAAAAACAGGUAAGCCACAGGAGGAAAUACAUUUACAAAACAUGUAUCUGACAAAGGACUGGUAUCUAGGGUACAUGAAGAAUUUGUACAACUCAAAAAUAAAAGCAAACAACAAAAAUGAGUAAAUGACUUGGACACUUUGAAAAAGAUACAUGAAAGGCCAAUAAACACAUGAACAAGUGUUUAAUAUGAAUUGUCAGAGAAAUGCAAAUUAAAACCACAACACUCUACCACUACACACCCACCAGAAAGCUGGCAGGGAUGUGGAGGAACUAGACUCUUACAUUCUUGCUGGGAGUACAGAAUAGCACAGUUGCCAAAUAGCUUUGGGAAAAGGUCCGGCAGUUAGUUAUAAAAUGAAAUGAUUACUUACUCCAUGACCCAGCUAUUCCACUCUUAGGUAUUUAUUUAUUCAAGAGAAAUGAAAAUAUGUGUCUACAAAAAAAAGGUACAUACUAGAAUGUUUAUGGCAGCUUUAUUCAUAAUAGCUGGAAAACAGGUGUUCAUUAUUAGGAGUACGGAUAAACAAACACUAGAUUCAUUCAAUGGAAUACUAUCCAGCAAUAUAAAAGAACCAACCACUGAUAUAUAGGACAAUAUGGAUGGAUCUCAAAAAAUCUGUGAUGAACAAAAGAAGCCAGAUAUCAAAGAGUGCAUACCACAAGAUUCCAUAUAGAUAAGGCCGCACAGGCAUAGCUCAUCUCUGGUAGAAGAACACAUGACAGAGGUGUGGUGUGCGGUGGGUGGGGGUGGGAAAGAAGGGGAGGGGUUGACUGCAGAAGGGCUUCAGGGAACUUUCUGGAGUGAUGAUAAUGUUCUAAAUUUUGAUAGCAGUUUUAUUUAAACAAGCACAGCUGUUUGUCAAAAAUCAUUAAAUGGUAUAAUUAGGAUUUAUGUAAAUUUUACAUCAAAAGAAAAAACUGCAAACAUUGAGUUCUAGUUAAUGUUAUGCAUGCUGAAGUAUUUACGGGGAAACAUACUUAUAUACAACUUAUUUUGAAAUGCAUCUAAAAAUAAGACAGAUUGAUGGGUGGAUAGAGGACUGAUAAAUGGAUGAAUAUGUAAUAAAGCAUGUAGAGUAAACUAUUAAUAUUAGAAUUUAGUAUAUAUAGUAUAUACUUAGUAUACAUACUAUAGAGUAGAAUAUAUAGUGUACAUGUACACUAUAUAGAAUAUAUACUGUAUAUAUACACUAUAUAGAAUAUAUAGCAUACAUAUAUAUAUAUAUAUAUAUAUAGAUAUAUGUAUACACACACAUAUAAUGUGUGUAUAUAUACAUAGGUGUUCCCUGUAAAAAAUCUCCAAUUUUCCUGUCUGUUUGAAAAUUUUCAUAAGUUAAGGAAGUAAUACUAGUAAAAAUCCCUUAGGGUCAAGGAUUCAAGUAACUAGCCAUAUCUAACGUGAACCACCACAUCUAUCUACUUCAUGGAGGGCUUGCCACUGAGAAACUUGUCACAGCCAAAUAAUUACCAAGUUAGGUCUCUAUGUAGGCUUAAGGAGAUCCUUUUCAAAGCCCAAAGUACAAAAUGAGAAUCACUGAUGAAAGUGUUCCUGCUCUAAAGCAGUUAAAAGAUGUGGAGGGCAGCAGCUGGGAAAAUUUCCAACUUCAAAAGUGAUCACAACCCACACCAGAAGAACACUUCUAAUUGAAAGCAGAAAAUCUGCACUUCUAAAAAAAUGUGCUUAUUCACUCACAGUAGAUCCCCAUCCUAGGCAAACACCAAUCUAGGCAGCCCUGAAAUCUGAAAAUGUUAACUACAAUCUCUUUCCCAACAAUAUAGAUCAGCCAAGGAGUGCUUUUUGGUACAUUCAUUCCAUGAGGCCAGGAAGGUUCAGGAAUUUUCAGACCUCAUCAUCUUUUUAACUGCCUUCACAUUCUGAGUUACUUGCUAGGUCCUGCUGCUGGUACAGAAGAGGGCUGGGAACAGGCCACAGUGGGACACCAUUCAGAGGAAACACACCUAGUGUCCCUACAGCUGCUCAACACUGGUCACCUUGAGUCUGACCCUAGGUGCCUUCUAAAUGCUCAGAUUUAAUUUUACAUGUCGUUUUAAAAACCUUCCUUGAAUAUUUCAUACAAAUAUAUAAGUACCAGAAAUUCAAAAAGGGCCUAAAGAUACCCAGACAGGCGUUCCUUGGCUGAAAUAAACACAUAUAAUAACACAAACAUCCUAUAGCCUUAACAAAAGAAAAAAUUAUAUCAGAAAUUUAAAAUUUGAUUAAAUACUUUCUUUGGAAAUAACCACAUGCCUGCUUUUACUGUUUUUACUUUCCAGGGCCUAUUUUGUGUUUGGGCAUGCAAUCUUUCCCAGAUUUCCACAUGUCUAAAAGUGAUUUUUGUUGGAAGACAGGGAAAUACUUAGUUAAUAUGUACUUAGGACUAUAAAUGGGUUGCAGUUAAAGUGAUGCUAUAACUUGAAAACUAUCUGACUUUCAUAGACGGCCCAGAUAAGUGGUAGUUUCUUUUAGGAAAGAACUAAUAGCCACAAUAAACACAUGGUCUAGGAUGGUGUAGAGGGGGUGAAAGAAAGGAAGCAAAAGAAUGUGAGGAAGCUCUAAGUUAAGUUCAAACAGAAAAUAAUCACUACAAAACAUUUUUGAAAUGGUGAGAUUUCUUUUAGAUACUCUCAACUUUUCAGUUUAUAAAAGCAAAGUGAAAAACAUCUCAAAAUCUAUUAGGAAAGCUUAUAUUAGUAGUUAUCAGUUAACCCCAUUUUUGUUUACUUCCAAGUUCUUAAUUCUAUGAUUCAACAAAUAUGCAACAGACACUUAUUAGACUCUGGGGAUACAAUGUUGAUAAGCUCCCUGUUUAAUGGAGUUUAGGUUAUUAGAGUGACUGAUAAUAAACAAAUUACCACGUAAGUAUAUGUAGUAUUAUAAGCUCAUUAAAUGCUAUAAAGGAAAGAUACAUGAUGUCUUGGGGGAGUUUAGUCUCCCAAGCAAGGCUAGGGAAACUUUUCUGAGGGCUGAGGAUGGGGCUGAGGUCAGAAAGGUAGGACAGAUUUAACAAGGGACGAGUCAGAGUCAAACUCAUCACUGCCAGCAUCACUGAAAUCUGGAUGAAAUUUAACAUCCAGGAUUAGAGCAUUUCUGUGAACAUUUAGUCUGGGACUCACGGAGCUCUUGGAAUGGGGUUGUUUUCUGGAAAAGAGAAUCCAUGUGUUGGUGAGCCUUACCUAAGCAAAACGUCUCCUAGCAAAGACUUCAGAGCUCUGCUAAAACGUGGCUAAGUCGGGAGCAAAAUAUAGAUUUUAUUGGCAGUGGAUGGUAUAAUUACCAUUGUGAAGAUGAAGCAUAUACUUCUCUAAUCUCUGGUUUUGGAAAUGUUGACAAAAUCCAGUCAGAAUUGCAGUAAACUCAAAGCCUUUGAAAGGCAAGAAUUUCCAAGAUGAUUAUUAUUUCAGAUCUACUUCCAGAAUACAUUAAUUUGUUUCACUAUUCAUUUUAUUCCAUGGCAUCACAAACAUCUGCUGAAAAUAACCUGCUGUCUCCAUCUCUGAAAUAUGCCAGCUGAAAAGUAAAAGACUCUCCUUUUACAUUUGAGGCUCAUAUUCAAGAGCAAAGCAUAAUCUAGAUAGAAGAAUCAAAUCUAAAAUUAGGCCAAAUCAGAACUCUACCUACCAAUCUAAGCAAACACUUGAUGUGCUUUUUCUGUUUUCAGAGACACAUAUUUAGGAAAACAUUAAGGAAAAUAAUAUAAAGAGGACACAAAAGCAAUGAAAAAAGUUAUUGCUAAGAGAAAUUUAGAAACCAUCUCUUCAGAGGCCUUCAAGUAGGAUGUAGAGCUGGGCCCAUAGCAGUCUGGAUGGCUGGUAGUUGGUGGCAGAGCUGAAACUACAAUACAGGGCUUCUGCCUGGUUCCCUGGUGCUGUCCUAUGACAAACAGGCCUUCCUGCCCAUCAUUCUCACAAGGGCCUCCCUAAUCUGAUAUGAACUAAUAAGUUAACUGCCCUUCCCAACUUGGCUACCUUAAUUGUCCCCAGAGGACAACUCUGCCAGGAUAUUUCAGCAUCAUUUAAUAAACUGUCUAGAUACUUUCAGUAUACUACACUACAUGCACCCUCAUGAUUUAGAAAAGAAUAAAAAAAUCACCUUUCAUAACUGGAUUGUCAAAGCUAAAUUUACUCACUACAUAAACAGACCUAUUUUAUAUUCAUGGCAUUUUAUAUAAGUAUUUUACAACAAAUAAUUAAACAUCAAAGAAGUUUACGAACCAGCUUCAUUUGCUAGCAUUUGUAAACAUACAUAUUUUUGUUCUAUAGUUUCAUGCAUGUAAAAACAAUGCUAAUUGUAAACUGGACCCAGUACAGCUUCUGAUGUCCUAAUUAAGAGGUACAAAUGCUAAUUACAAAUCACUUUAUCUAGUUAUUAAAACUUAAGUGUCAGUUAUGUAUUUCAGCCAACCCCAUGAAACCAAGUAAAAUUCACCAACAUAUUAAAAGCAAGUUAAAAGUUAAGGUCACACUUAACUUUUCCAUACAAUUUCAAAAAGAAUUAAAAUCAAUUAAAAUUACCUAGUUGAACUAGGUAUGUACAUUCUUUGAGUACUAUUAUGAAUCUCAAGAGUCCAAGUCAAUUGAAUCAAUAAAGGAGAGACCAAGACAGGAAAUUUGAUUCAAGUUCUAAUUCAUAAAAUGUCUCUAUUUCUUACAUGAAUAAAAUUGAUUUGAUAAUAGUUACUAACCCAAUUACAGGAAAGCACAGGUAGAGACCAUCUACUAGUCAAUUAUAAAGUCUGAAUACAUUCAUAAAACAAAUGUAUUAUGCUAUUAUCACUGCAGCCAUUGUUUAAAUGCAGUUAUUUGGUACUCCAAGCUUCUGAAGAUUUAAAAAAUAAUUUUGUGCCAUCAAAACUGGGUUGCAUCUAGAGAUCUUGAAAUAAUUACAAAAUCAUAAUAGGACUACACAAUGAAAAUUCCAAUAUGUUGUGUUAUAUCUUGUAUUCGACUGCAAGUUAUGACAGUGAAGCGCAAAGCUUUCACAAAUCGGCUUUAAAUAAUAAUUUUAAAAAGUCUAUUCUGAUUAAUACAGACAGCUAAAACAUCCUUAAGCAUGCAAUCACUUGAAUAUUUUGCAAGAUAUUUUCAGGAGUACCAAGAACUCAAUAUACCAUCUUCAUUCAGAAACAAAAUUAAACGUCUGCCUCAACCUUUAAAGCUCGAUUACAAGGCAAAGUGGAAAUUUCAAAUUCAAAUGAUAAGUAUUUCAAAAUGAGUCUUUAUCAGUCCUUUGGUAAAACAAACAAGCAAAUGUCAUGUAAAAAACUCUUAAAGGAUAAUGCUCAUUCAUCAUUACUUAAAAUUUUUAGAAUCACAUUUUUCAUAUGCAUGGCAAAUUUCUCAGCCAAAGAAUUAUGAAAAACAUUAGAACUUAGAUCCAAAGCUUGCUAUGUCUUCAAAGUAGCUGUUUUCCUUUUUAAUUUUUUGAUAUGCCACUGUAAGAUUGAAGUCUCCUGCCUUUCAAUAAAUAUUAAAUAUCAAUUUCCUAGUUUGGCUCAUUCUUGAGAAUCAAGUAUUAGAGUCAGUCCAGGGGAGAACAUAUUUUGUUUGAAAAAUGAGACCACAUGCUUCAGUUGUCUACCACUGUUGGUGGUGUUUUACAACGUAGAGAGAUAAAUUCAAUCUAUACUCACCAAUCGUGUGUAACAUAUCUGUGGGUUGGAAUUCAGUUACAGUAGCCUUAGAAGAGUUCAUGAAAUUACAUUUUCAAGAAACUUAAAAACUUUAAAAAUUCUGCAUGAAGUCAAACAGAGCUCUUGGCUGCACACUGUAAUCUGACACUAGGCUGAAGAAACUGACCAAGUUUAAGUAACCCAAGAGGAACUGUUUCCUGCUUUCUGUUAGAACAGUCUGCAAUGACCUAUAGUAACACUGCUGAGGCAGAGGUUACUAUCGGGCAUUAGAUGCUGCUAUCAGGAAGUCAGUCACUCGGGUAGGGUGGUUUCUUUUUUUUUUUUUUUUUUUCCUGGGGUAGCACUUAUCUCAAGUGUUUGUAAGAAUUCAACCCUGCUCACCCAUCAAGUUUAUAAAGACAAGAAAAACUAAAAGAAGGAUUGGAAAAUGCACUCAGACCAAGUAGGUAGCUCCCCCUCCACCUCAACAAAAGGACCUGCAUGGAAAACCUAAGUUAAGAUGGAACUCCGCAUCAAAACAAACUUGCCUGAGCCAGAUGAUGUGGGUUUCAGCCGUGGAAACUUAGCAAACUUACUUCAGGCCAGCUCGAUGGCUCACACCUGUAAUCCCAGCACUUUUGGAGGCCGAGGCAGGAGGAUCGCCUGAGCCCAGCAGUUUGAGACCAGCCCGGUUUCGCAACACAGCGAAACCCCAUCUCUACACAAAAUACAAAAAAUUAGCCAGGCGUGGUGGCGCCUGCCUGUAGUCUCAGCUACAUGGGAGGCUGAGGUGGGAGGAUCACUUGAGCCUGGGAGUUCGAGGCUGCAGUGUGCUGUGAUCCCCCUACUGCACUCCAGCCUAGGCGACAGAGCAAAAGACCCUGUCUCUAAACAACAACAACAACAAAAAGAAAACAACGAAAGAAAAAAAAAGAGAAAACUUACUUCAUCUGUCUGAAGCUUGGUGUUGUCAACAGUAAAAUGGAGAUGGCAAUAUCUGCUCUGUCUCCACCCAGCAUUGUUGGGAAGCGCAGCAAAGAUAAUAACGUUCACAAAAGCAUUUGAAUGUCCCCGUGUAUGUAAGGGGAGCUAUAAGUUCAGUGCCUUCACUGCUUAAUGAUGACUUUUCCUGUCCCUACCCCCCUUCACGAGUCCCAAGGAUCUGUUAGUGGCCUUUAUUUCCGAACAACCAGGUACGAUAUCAGAGCCCAAGGCUAAAAAAAAAGGAGGGAUCCUCCCACACACAGUUCUUUGCUAAAGCUGACCGAGUAAAACUGUAAACUGUCCAAGUCCUAACCCCCACUGUUGCAGAGGAACAGGUGCACUCUCACAUCUUUCUGUCUUAUAAAUACACCUCAUGCUAUUGUGGGCUGAAACAGUCCCUUCUUGUAUUAACUGCAGUGCCUAUUCCCUGAAUUCCAGUUUACUAAUAAUCUGGGGAAUUUAUCUGGAAGAUAGCGUUUGGUUCAUUCCUUGUCUACUUUAUGCUUAAUUGCUAGAAGUUUCAGAAGAGGAAGAAGAGGCGAGGGGCAAUAGGGAGACCAGUUAUAUUGGUUAGUAUUUUUGUUUAUGAACAAUAGAAACUAAAGCUGGCUAACUGGAAACUCAUAGAAUCAAUGGGACCAGGUGUGGAAAUGAGUAGAACGGGAAAAUAUUGGUUGGCCAAGAAAAAAAAAAUAAACAAAAAUAAAACAAGCAAACACCCAAACCAAAUACCCACUUUGUGGACUACUUUAAAAAUAACUUAUAUUUUUGGUUUUAGCAGGGAUUUUUCUUUUGCAAGUAUGAUUUCAUUGUUUUUUUAAAAAAUCUAAGCUUGUAAAAUAGUUUGUAGAAGCAUAGGUAAAAU